Molecule: ribosomal RNA, 301 nt
Filed under: uncultured bacterium
Lineage: Bacteria
Description: partial 16S ribosomal RNA
Rfam family: Bacterial small subunit ribosomal RNA
Source: RNAcentral
CAGCCGCCGCGGGAAUACGGAGGGGGCUAGCGUUGUUCGGAAUUACUGGGCGUAAAGCGUGCGUAGGCGGCUUUUUAAGUCGGAUGUGAAAUCCCUGAGCUUAACUUAGGAAUUGCAUUCGAUACUGGGAAGCUAGAGUAUGGGAGAGGAUGGUAGAAUUCCAGGUGUAGCGGUGAAAUGCGUAGAGAUCUGGAGGAAUACCGAUGGCGAAGGCAGCCAUCUGGCCUAAUACUGACGCUGAGGUACGAAAGCAUGGGGAGCAAACAGGAUUAGAUACCCGCGUAGUCCCUGUCUCUUAUAC